AGAGAGAGAGAGAGAGACAAACGGAUGCAUAAAUAACAAAGCUAAUCAAUAAACAGGAAUCAGGAAAGAAAAGACGAAAAAAGAAAAGAAAAAGAAGAGAGAGAAACAGAGAAAAACAAAGAAAAUAAUAAAAAAAGUAAAAAAAAAAAGUGAACGAAAAAUUGAAAACAAAUAAAAGUGAAGAAGAAGAGAUAAAUAAAAGAGAGAGAUAAAGAAAAAGAGAUAAUGGCGUCUCUUAGAUCAAUCCGUGCUGGUUUAUCUCGCUCCUACCACUCCUUAAACACGAUGGGAGGACAUGAAGAGGAAACAGAAGGAGGAGGAGGAGGAGGAGGAGGCAGAGAGAACAACAACACAACCUCCUCCUCUAACUACUCCGCGACUACUGACUGGCUCGGGGUGGACAACUUCAGAACGAGGAACAACAACAAAAGUUCGCCUCUCUCAGCCAUCAAGGUCGCUCUGUCUAAAGUCUCGCGAGGGAGGCAGAAUCACUCCUCCAGUAAGAUUUCCACUAUCCUGAAGGAGUUGGAUGACGAGUGGAGGAUCAGUGAGGAUGGCACGGAGGGUGAUAUCAUCCUAGGAAAACUUCGCGUCACCAACUCCAGAAUGCCUUCCUCCAUAGCUGUGCCCCCAGAACAGGCCUCCCUCCUCGGCACCAUGCCUGGAGAGGUACUGGACGACGGAGAUCUGAGGCAGGUGCAGCUGUCCAUCGCACCCUCCCGCACCCUAAGCGAGGAUGGUUCCACUGGCAGCAAGGUCACAGUGGACACCCCCUAUGGCCCCGUCACUGCUGCUGUCUCCGGCGACCCCACACGACCUGUCAUUCUCACCUAUCAUGACCUUGGCCUCAAUCACGUCACUAAUUUCCAGGCGUUUUUCCUGUACCCUGAGAUGAGGAAUGUGGUAAACAACUUCUGCAUCGUUCAUGUGAAUGCCCCAGGUCAGGAGGAGGGCGCCCCCACACUGCCGGAGGGAUACGUGUACCCCACCAUGGAGCAGCUUGUGGACACCAUUACCUGCGUGAAGAACCACCUACACCUGCGCUCCUUCAUCGGGUUUGGUGUCGGUCUUGGAGCUAACAUCCUGGCUCGCUAUGCCACAAAAUACCCCAAUCAUGUGGAUGCGCUGGUGCUGGUGAACUGCUCCUCCACUCAGGCUGGCUGGAUUGAGUGGGGCUACCAGAAGCUGAACAUCCGCCAUCUGCGCUCUGGCACCAUGACCACCGGCACUGUGGAUUACCUUAUGUGGCACCACUUUGGCAAGCUGGAGGAGUGUAACCAGGACCUUGUGACAGUGUACCGCCAACACUUUGAGCGUGCUAUCAACCCCACCAACCUCGGACUCCUUGUUGACUCCUAUAUCCGCCGUUCAGACUUGGCUAUCGUUAGGGAGCUGGACCCCAAUAAGAAGAAGGAUGUCCGAAUGAUCCGCUGCCAGGUCCUCAACAUCACUGCCAACCUGUCACCCCACAUCGAGGACACUGUUACCUUCAAUGGCCGCCUUGACCCCACCCUGGCCACCUGGAUGAAGAUCCAGGAUGUCGGGUUAGUGAUAGACGAGGCCCCUGGCAAAGUGGUGGAGGCCUUCAGACUGUUCCUCCAGGGCCAAGGCUAUGUGAGUGGGUCGCGUCGUGCCUCCAGUGUGUCGCUUGGAGAAGGUAAAUCGUGUUGAGCUCCUCCUACUACUACAUCACCCCUCCAUCACAAAGUUUGAUACAAAUACAAGGCUUUGUCCGUGCACAGUCGAGGCAUUGGAUCGCGUCAGGGCUCCAUCGCAUCCGUCACCUCAUCCACCGCCAGCCUGAGGGACUUGAGGGAAAGCAGGGACAUCCACAUUACAGAGAACCCACUCCAGAACCCCACUGCAUGAGA
This 1871-nucleotide unclassified non-coding RNA is filed under the name Portunus trituberculatus (swimming crab). Its description in RNAcentral is "protein NDRG3-like, transcript variant X9". Lineage: Eukaryota; Metazoa; Arthropoda; Malacostraca; Decapoda; Portunidae. The record is from RNAcentral.